This 77-nucleotide transfer RNA is filed under the name Anaerolineales bacterium. RNAcentral's name for it is "tRNA-Val". It matches the Rfam family "tRNA". Rfam says of the family: Transfer RNA (tRNA) molecules are approximately 80 nucleotides in length. Their secondary structure includes four short double-helical elements and three loops (D, anti-codon, and T loops). The record is from RNAcentral. Lineage: Bacteria; Bacillati; Chloroflexota; Anaerolineae; Anaerolineales.
GGGCGCGUAGCUCAGCUGGUUAGAGCAUUCGGCUUACAUCCGAAAGGUCGGGGGUUCGAGUCCCUCUGCGCCCACCA